Molecule: long non-coding RNA, 255 nt
Filed under: Salvia miltiorrhiza (redroot sage)
Lineage: Eukaryota; Viridiplantae; Streptophyta; Magnoliopsida; Lamiales; Lamiaceae
Description: long non-coding RNA (SMIL_LNC010656)
Source: RNAcentral
UUCCUAACGUUUACACGGAAUUGGUUUUUGCACCUAUUUUUAUUUUUCUACUUUUAAAUACCUAACCUUUCGUUUUUGUCUCAAAUUUGUCCGGUCACCGGUUUUUUCUUACGCCGGCGCCGGAAAUGCCACUGUGGCAGCCGAAAUCGUUGAUUUGGCAGCCGGAAAUUGACACAUAGCCUAUUCAUUGACACGUGGCAAAAAAUUAAAAAAAAAAGUAAAAUCCCACCCCCCUCGUCUUCUUCCUCUCCCCCC